GACGAACGCUGGCGGCGUGCUUAACACAUGCAAGUCGAACGGUGAAGCGCCUUCCUUUUUGGUGGGUGUGGAUGAGUGGCGAACGGGUGAGUAACACGUGAGUAACCUGCCCCCUUCUUCUGGAUAACCGCAUGAAAGUGUGGCUAAUACGGGAUAUUCUGGGUCUGUCGCAUGAUGGGUCUGGGAAAGAUAUUGUUUCGGUGGGGGAUGGGCUCGCGGCCUAUCAGCUUGUUGGUGGGGUGAUGGCCUACCAAGGCGGUGACGGGUAGCCGGCCUGAGAGGGUGGACGGUCACAUUGGGACUGAGACACGGCCCAGACUCCUACGGGAGGCAGCAGUGGGGAAUAUUGCACAAUGGGCGAAAGCCUGAUGCAGCGACGCCGCGGGAGGGAUGGAGGCCUUCGGGUUGUGAACCUCUUUCGCCAGUGAAGCAGGCCUGCCUCGUUUGUGGGUGGGUUGACGGUAGCUGGAUAAGAAGCGCCGGCUAACUACGUG
This 494-nucleotide ribosomal RNA is filed under the name uncultured bacterium. RNAcentral describes it as "partial 16S ribosomal RNA". It matches the Rfam family "Bacterial small subunit ribosomal RNA", at positions 28 to 507 of the family's 1533-position model. The record is from RNAcentral.